UCACUAAAGUCGAUUAGAAUACCGUAUCCAUAUGUCAGCUUGUCUAUCGUCUGAUGCCUUCCUAGCUUAGAUGCCAUAUUGUAUCACAAGGUUACCUUUUGUUCUUUCUUUAAGUCCAAGUUGUGUCUUAUGGAGUUGAUGGGAGGAUGUUAUCUAUUAUCUGCUGACUUCCCAGUUUGCAUGUUGUAAUUUGUUAUCUAUCGUUUGCUGACUUUUCAGUUUGCAUGCCGUAAUGUGUAAUCAAGGUUUACCUUUGUUCUUUGCUGAAGUCCAAGUUUACAUUGGGAUUAACACAUCAAUACUAUUUAAGGUUGUGCGCUAUGUAGGUUAUUUUCUUGAUUUUUCAAGCUAUGUUCUGUAAAUGUUUUUUGAUUAAGAAGAUUAUGUUCUUGACAUACAAGCACAAUGUUGCAAGUAUACUACUGCAAAAUGUAUUUUUGCUGGGUGUUUGAAUGAUUUCGUGCACGUAUUUAGUUGGAAACUCGUGACACACACAACUUUCCUGACUGUAAAAAUACACUUGGUACAGAUCUAUACAGUCAAUACAUUAACCGUUUGCCCAUUUUCUCCUCAGGACACUCAGUGAACAAGUGGAUACGUCCUUUGUAACAAUAGUUAGGGCAUGUACAAUGGUUGAUAAAACAGUCUUAUCUUAAGUCUUGCAUGUAAUUUAGAGAUGACAAAAAAGUAUGUCUACAAUGGGUUAUAUCUUAACCUUAUCUUCAAUAGCUAGUCAUUCCUUAAAACAUGGUGAGACAAAUUAUGCUAAGAGAUCAUCUCUUGUCUUAUCUUAAAUAAGAGAAGACAAACCUUUUUUUGUGAGUUCUCUCUCCUCCACCUCAUCAUUAAUCCUACGUGGCACUCCUAAGAUAGCACCAUUGUACAUGCCCUUAAUGGACUGGUGAAACUUAGCACAACAUGUAGUAAUAAGUUCUUCAUCUUUUUUUUUUUGAGCGUAAUAUAAGUUCUUCAUCUAGUAAAAUAGUACUCCCUCCGUUCUUUUUUAGUUCGGAAUAGCUUCGUACGUGACGUUUUCUGGACGGCGUGUGGACGAUGUAAACCUGGGCAUGUGCAGCCUAGCUCUCGGCCCAAGCCCAGCUUGCCCAGCUUGGGCCUUGAUUUGCUGCAGAGAGUACUUUUCAGUCUGGGCUUGGGCCUCCGUUUUCAGCCUGAAAUUAGCACGGCCUGGCCCGGCACAUCAGCUCACACAUAUCUGUUCAACAGUUUAGAGAGGUGGUGGAUGCCUGCGGGUUAGCUGAUAUUGGCUACGUGGGCAUGGACUGGACUUUUGAGAAGAAGGUUACAGGUGGCCAAUAUUGUCGUGUCCGUCUCGACCGGGCACUUGCGUCCAAUGAGUGGUGUAACAUGUUUCCUUUUGCUACUCUGAGGCAUCUUACUGCUGUAAAAUCUGACCACUCCCCAAUACUGUUGAUGAAUGAGCUUGAAGCUAAUAAUAGGAGAGUUGCAAUCGCUCGUCCGUUCCGAUACGAAGUGAUGUGGGAGCGUCACGAAGAAUUCUCUAGGGUACUGCAACAGGCGUGGUCGAGCAGGCCGAAGAGCUCUUCGGUCGCGGAGCUACGGCAUAAAUUGGACGUGGUUGCGGCUGCGUUUACCUCCUGGAGUGCGCAGUCCUUCGGUUCAGUGCGCAAGGAGCUGCGGGAACUCAAGGGCCAACUUGAGGCAAUGCGUGCUGACCCAUGCAGGACGGGACCAAUGCAUGCAGAGUUAAAAAUUCAAGAACGCAUUGCUGAAUUGAAUUAUAGAGAAGAGAUCCUUUGGCGUCAACGAUCUCGCAUCCAGUGGUUAAUGGAGGGCGAUAAUAAUACAGCGUUCUUUCACAGGAAGGCCUCGGCGCGCCGAAGGAAGAACCGAGUUGACAAGCUCACCCGUGCUAAUGGCACUGUUUGUGAAGACCAGGAUGAGCUUGGCCAGAUGACAUCAGAUUUCUAUAAAAACUUGUAUGCGUCUGAAGGAACAGUGGGUAUGGAAGAGGUUCUAUCGCAUAUCCCUUGUAGAGUUUCGGCGGAGAUGAAUCAGCAGCUUAAUGCCCCGUUUUGUGAACAGGAAGUUAAGGAGGCAUUGUUCCAAAUGUUCCCAACCAAAGCCCCAGGCCCGGAUGGCCUCCCGGCACACUUUUUUCAGAAAAAUUGGGAUAUUUGUCAUGAAGAGGUGACUGGCAUAGUAUUACGGAUUCUCAAUGGUGAGGAUUCUCCGGAAGAGAUCAACAAAACCUUCAUUGUUAUCAUCCCUAAGGUAUCAAAACCGACACUUUUGUCUCAGUUUCGACCUAUUAGCUUGUGCAACGUGAUAUAUAAAAUUGUCUCGAAAGUACUGGCUAACCGUCUGAAGCUCAUCCUUCCGGAAAUUAUUUCUAUGGAGCAAUCUGCCUUCGUGCCAGGUAGACUCAUUACCGACAACGUGAUCACUGCCUAUGAAUGUUUACACUAUAUGAAAGUCAAGAGGGGGAAGAAAAAUACUUUUUGUGCUCUCAAGCUCGACAUGAUGAAGGCCUAUGACCGCGUAGAGUGGGCAUACUUGAAGAAAGUUAUGAUGAAGCUGGGUUUCAAUGUUAUUUGGGUUGAACGGAUUAUGAGUUGCGUAUCUUCGGUGUCUUUCUCAGUGUUGUUUAAUGGAGGCAAGUUGGAAGAAUUUAAGCCAUCUAGGGGACUCCGGCAGGGUGACCCUAUUUCACCGUAUCUAUUCUUGCUAGCGGCUGAAGGAUUAUCAUGUAUUUUGAAGGGCCGAAAUAUCACUGAUGAUGUUGCUGGGAUCAAAGUGGCCCCCACUGCACCAUGUAUUAAUCACUUGCUUUUUGCAGAUGAUAGCAUUUUAUUCUUCAAAGCCAAUGAAGUGGGAGCCCAGCAAAUUAAGGAUUCUCUGGACAUCUAUUGUCAGGCGUCAGGACAAAGGAUAAACAUGGACAAAUCUUCAAUUUUCUUUGGAAAAGGUUGUUCUGACGCAACCCGUGGGCAGAUUAAGGGACUCCUUGGGGUCCAAAAUGAAUCACUAGCGGAGAAAUACUUGGGAUUGCCCUCGUCCGUGGGUAGAUCUAAGAAUGGAGUUUUCAAAUAUCUCAAGGAUAGAGUUUGGGCUCGUGUAAGAGGGUGGAUGGAGAAGGCUUUAUCUUGUGGAGGGAAAGAAAUCUUGAUCAAGUCGGUGGCUCAGGCGAUACCCACCUAUUCGAUGGCGUGCUUUAAAUUACCUCGAGGUCUUUGCGAGCAUAUAAAUUCUUUGCUUAGAAAAUUUUGGUGGGGCUGCAAGGACGGUGAGCGCAAAACAGCAUGGGUUUCGUGGGACGAGAUGACUAGGCCGAAACGAGAUGGUGGUCUAGGCUUCCGGGAUAUUGAGCUCUUCAAUCUCGCGUUAUUGGCUCGACAAGCAUGGCGAAUGUUAACUAACCCAGAUUCCAUCAGUGCCCAAGUUUUAAAGGCUGUCUAUUUUCCUGAAGGAAAUAUCCUAACUGCUGUUAUUGGCUCACGCCCUUCGACCGUCUGGAGGUCCAUUUGCGAAGGUAGGGAUGUGUUGAAGCUGGGCGUAAUCCGGAGAAUUGGUGAUGGAAAAGAGACACAGUUUUUUGAUAACUGGCUGCCACGCGACUAUAAGCUACAGCCGAUUUGUGCAAGGAGUGCAACACCGCCGGAGUUUGUUAGUGAAUUAAUUAACCAAACCGUGCAUGCAUGGAACAUAGAGGCUGUACGAGAGCAUAUGAUCCCACCUGAUGCGGACGUGGUGCUAAACAUCCCGCUAAGUUCAAUCAACUUGCCGGAUACCUGGGCAUGGCACUAUGAGCACUCUGGACGAUUUUCUGUCCGCUCAGCCUACCGGCUACUAGUGGAGACGAAGCGACAAAGAGAGGACUGGCUCGAGCACCGACCGGGGCCGUCCGACCUUGAAAGAACUCGCCGGCAAUGGUCUGAUUUAUGGGGCAUCAAGGUUCCUUCUAAAGUUAAAAAUUUUGCUUGGCGACUUGCUCAUGUGUCCCUCCCGACGGGUGAUGUAAGGCUAUCUCGGAACAUGGCGCAGGAGGCGACUUGUUCUGUUUGCAAUGCAGCUGAAGAUUCGUGGCACCAUUCGCUCAUAGACUGUAACAUGGCGAAAGCAGUAUGGUCGCUGAUGGAUGAUGAUGUUGUGAAUCUUGUUCAGUCACGUGAUCAGGAAGAUCCUAAGUUGUGGUUGUUCAAUCUACUCGAAGUAGCAUCACAUGCGGAAGUUGUGAAGGUCCUGAUAACACUAUGGUCCAUUUGGUGGGCUCGCCGAAAAGUGAUUCAUGAGCAACAAUUUCAGAGUCCGCUAUCGACGUUCUCCUUUAUCCAGCGUUUUCUGUCAGAGCUUGAAGGGCUACCAGUCAAGAAGUCUAACCAGCCCAGCCAACCUCGUAGGCCUGCCCGUGGCGGCUGGCAAGCUCCUGCUGUGGGAAGUGCCAAAAUUUAUGUUGACGGAGGUAUAGACAGACGAGAACGGAAGGGAGCUGUAAGUGCAAUUUGCCGUAAUGUGACGGGUACCUUCCUCGGCGCAUCCUCAAUUGUUUUUGAAGGUCUUACACAUCCAUCGACACUUGAAGCCAUUGCAUGCAGUGAGGCAAUGUCGCUAGCUCUUGAUCUAAACCUCUCACAAAUACAAAUUGCUACGGAUUGUCUACAAGUGGUUCGCAACAUCAAGGAGGAUAACCCAUGCAGCUAUGCCGUAAUCAUCAAGGAGAUUCUCGCAAAAAAGGCGUUGUUCCAGGAGGUGUCCAUUAGUCAUGAAAAUCGAGCAUGCAAUAUUGAAGCACAUAGUCUAGUGAAAGCUGCUACUUCUCUCGAGAGUGGGCGUCAUGUUUGGCUCACCUCACCCCCACCUAUAGCUUGUAUCCCUACAAACAUUGUUUAAAUAAAGUUAUAAUGGUGUUCAAAAAAAAAAUCUGUUGCGUCUAAAUAUUUGAAUCCCACCUGCAGCCGCGAUAUAAAGGCAUCCUGACAAGACCGCAACCCUAAUUCCGCGAACCCCCCAUCUCGUCAUGAAUUCCCCAGCCACCCCUUCCUCCACUUCAAAUCCACAUGAGGUAGUACUGCUACGAUGCGAGCUCCUCUGCCCAGGUCCGACGAUGGUAGGAUCUCAUGUUCCUUAUUUAUGGAGGAAUUAAAUCUAAGGGUGAUUACUGAUUAGCUACUGUCAUGCAUGCUCGGCCCAAAAAAUCGACUUGGUAGCACUGCUCUUAUUAGUUUGUAUAUAACUCAGUGCAUGCAUACCGAGUAGGUCAUCCGGUGGUUUAUCUUGGGAGCAACGGGAUCCUUGACUGUGCGCAAUGAGGAGAAGUCAUGGAAACUACUUUGGAAUGUGCAGGUACCAGCGAAAAUCAGAAUGUUUUUGUGACAAUUAGCAAGACAGUCUCUCCCCACAGAAGAUAUACGAGCUCACCGUAAUAUGUCUACCACUAGCUCUUGUGGUUUCCGUGGCUCGCAAGACUCUUGGAGACAUUCCCUCCUUGAGUGUUCAAUGGCAAGAUGUGUUUGAGCGUUAGAAGAUGGUGAAACGGUAGACCAGAUGACACAUGUGAUAUAAGAUGUGUGGUAACUUUUCCAAAUAACUUUAAAGAGGGGGAAGUAUGCGUAAAAAUCUCCCGUUACUGAUUGUUCUUCGCAUGUCUGCGGGUCCGGAGCAAUCAGGGGCUAGAUAUGCCAUCAAAUCUUUCCUCAGGUCCUCACAUAAGUUUGGAAGUGCGGUGGGAGGUGCAAACACCCGACACGCAGCUCCGGAGUGAGAUCCCUUUCACGGACGACACUCGCUCCCGUGGUUCCCUUGGGGCAACCGGCUCGUGGGAUCCCACAACGGCGGCUGGAUCAUCACCGCGUCCGGCUCCGACCAGCUCCUCGUGGUGAACCUCUUCUCUGGCGCUCGAGGGCCGCUUCAGCGCAAUCGUGUGCGCGUGUAGUAGACCGCUCGGUUGGCGACGGGAUGCGUACUUCUCGUGCACAGCCCCCGUAAAAAAAUCAUCUUCUCCGGGGACCCUUCAUCGAGCAGCUGCGUCCUCGCCGCUGCAAUAACCAAACUGUACAACAUAGCGCUAUGCAGGAUUGGCUCCCCGGACGGCCGAUGGACCACACUAGGAUGUGACACCAACAUGAGCACAUAUACGGACAUCGCCUUUUGCAAUGGCCACCUCUAUGGCUUCACGAAGAGUGAAGAGUUGUUCAAAGUUUGAGAUCAGCGUGACGGAGGACGCCAAUCUGGUGCUCAGACCACUCCACCUCGUGCACAUUGAAAUGAAUGCAUUUCAAGUGGUCGACGCGAUCUCCAUCCCAAGCUACAUCUUCGAACUGUAUGGCAAACUAGCAAUAGCCGUGCAGGUCUGGCCGAAAAAGGUCUGUAGUGACACUAAAUUUUUCAGGGUGUUUGAGCUUGCCGACGAGGGCACAAUGUGGGAAGAGGUGACAAGGUUGGGUGACCACGCCUUGUUUCUAGGUCCAGCGUGCAGCAAGGCGUUGCAGGUGUCUACGUCGUGCGGGCAUGGCUUGGUGGAAAAGAACCGCAUCUACUACUCUGAGCAGUGUUCUGAUCGUUACAUCGACUUGGAAUGCUCGACAAAGUUGGACCUCGGCAGUUGCACCUUAUAUCCUUGUGAAAGUAAAGGAUUGCAUCAUUUAGAAAAGAUCUUCUCACGGAGCUACCAAUACCCCUUGGUAGAUGAAAACAAUGGCUGUAAUAUUUGCAUGUGGCUGCUGCCUCCAGGAUUUUAGUUCCUCAUACAUGCAUGUAAUAUCUCACACUUACCUUAGAUUUUCUUGUUCGACCAGAUUUUGUACAACUUAUAGUACGAAAAUAAAGAGAAUAGAUAUUUCUAAAAAAAGAAAAGGAGUUGUUUGAUGAUAAUUUGCAUACAUAAAAUAAUGUUACACAUGGAGCAAGGAGUGCCCCUGAACGUGUACACGUAUACAUCUUGAACUACCUUGAUCCAAAGUGAGGGUUAGUGGGCUAUAUAUUGAUCGGUCAUUAGAGCAACUCUAGCAGACCCCCCAAAAGGCCCCGACCCGCAAAAUAACCGCCAAAAUGCGGGUCGGCACGGAAUAUCCUGUUGGAAAUAUGCCCUAGAGGAAAUAAUAAAAGCAUUAUUAUUAUAUUUCCUUGUUCAUGAUAAUUGUCUUUAUUCAUGCUAUAAUUGUGUUAUCCGGAAAUCGUAAUACAUGUGUGAAUAACAGACACCGACAUGUUCCUAGUGAGCCUCUAGUUGACUAGCUCGUUGAUCAACAGAUAGUCAUGGUUUCCUGACUAUGGACACUGGAUGUCAUUGAUAACGAGAUCACAUCAUUGGGAGAAUGAUGUGAUGGACAAGACCCAAUCCUAAACAUAGCACAAGAUCGUAUAAGUUCGUUUGCUAGAGUUUUCCAAUGUCAAGUAUCUUUUCCUUAGACCAUGAGAUCGUGUAACUCCCGGAUACCGUAGGAGUGCUUUGGGUAUGCCAAACGUCACAACGUAACUGGGUGACUAUAAAGGUAGACUACGGGUAUCUCCGAAAGUGUCUGUUGGGUGACAUGGAUCAAGACUGGGAUUUGUCACUCCGUAUGACGGAGAGGUAUCAAUGGGCCCACUCGGUAAUGCAUCAUCAUAAUGAGCUCAGAGUGACCAAGUGUCUGGUCACGGGAUCAUGCAUUACGGUACGAGUAAAGUGACUUGCCGGUAACGAGAUUGAACGAGAUAUUGGGAUACCGACGAUCGAAUCUCGGGCAAGUAACAUAUCGAUAGACAAAGGGAAUAGCGUACGGGGUUGAUAGAAUCCUCGACAUCGUGGUUCAUCCGAUGAGAUCAUCGUGGAGCAUGUGGGAGCCAACAUGGGUAUCCAGAUCCCGCUGUUGGUUAUUGACCGGAGAGUCGUCUCGGUCAUGUCUGCUUGUCUCCCGAACCCGUAGGGUCUACACACUUAAGGUUCAGUUACGCUAGGGUUGUAGGGAUAUGUAUAUGCAGUAACCUGAAUGUUGUUCGGAGUCCCGGAUGAGAUCCCGGACGUCACGAGGAGUUCCGGAAUGGUCCGGAGGUAAAGAUUUAUAUAUGGGAAGUCCUGUUUCGGGCAUCGGGACAAGUUUCGGGGUUAUCGGUAUUGUACCGGGACCACCGGAAGGGUCCCGGGGGUCCACCGGGUGGGUCCACCUGUCCCGGGGGGCCACAUGGGCUGUAGGGGGUGCGCCUUGGCCUAAUGGGCCAAGGGCACCAGCCCCACAUAGGCCCAUGCGCCUAGGGUUUGAAGGGGAAAGAGUCCUAGGAGGGGAAGGCACCUCCUAGGUGCCUUGGGGGGGAGGGAAACCCCCCUUGGCCGCCGCACCCCCUAGGAGAUUGGAUCUCCUAGGGCCGGCCACCCCCCCUUGGCACCCCUAUAUAUAGUGGGGGAGAGGAGGGACUUCAUACCUGAACGCCUAGGCCUUUGGUUGCCUCCUUCUCCCUCCCCAACAGCUCCUCCACCUCCAUAGUGCUUAGCGAAGCUCUGCCGGAGUACUGCAGCUCCAUCAACACCACGCCGUCGUGCUGCUGCUGGUGCCAUCUCCCUCAACCUCUCCUCCCUCCCUUGCUGGAUCAAGAAGGAGGAGACGUGGCUGUUCCGUACGUGUGUUGAACGCGGAGGUGCCGUCCGUUCGGCGCUGGUCAUCGGUGAUUUGGAUCACGUCGAGUACGACUACAUCAUCACCGUUCUUUUGAACGCUUCCGCUCGCGAUCUACAAAGGUAUGUAGAUGCAUCUAAUCACUCGUUGCUAGAUGAACUCCUAGAUGAUCUUGGUGAAAUGAGUAGGAAAAUUUUUGUUUUCUGCAACGUUCCCCAACAGUGGCAUCAUGAGCUAGGUCUAUGCGUAGUUCUUCUUGCGCGAGUAGAACACAAUUUGUUGUGGGCGUAGAUUUGUCAACUUUCUUGCCGUUACUAGUCCUUUCUUGCUUCAGCGGAAUUGUGGGAUGAAGCGGCCCGGACCAACCUUACACGUACGCUUACGUGAGACCGGUUCCACCGACUAACAUGCACUAGUUGCAUAAGGUGGCUGGCGGGUGUCUGUCUCUCCUACUUUAGUUGGAGCGGAAUCGAUGAACAGGGUCCUUAUGAAGGGUAAAUAGAAGUUGACAAAUCACGUUGUGGCUUUAACGUAGGUAAGAAGACGUUCUUGCUAGAACCCUAAUUCAGCCACGUAAACCUUGCAACAACAAUUAGAGGACGUCUAACUUGUUUUUGCAGCAAGUGGUUUGUGAUAUGAUAUGGCCAGAGUUGUGAUGAAUGAUGAAUGAUCUAUAUGUGAUGUAUGAGAUGUUCAUGCUAUUGUAAUAGGAAUCACGACUUGCAUGUCGAUGAGUAUGACAACCGGCAGGAGCCAUAGGAGUUGUCUUUAUUCUUUUAAUGACCUGCGUGUCAUCGAGAAACGCCAUGUAAAUUACUUUACUUUAUUGCUAAACGCGUUAGCCAUAGUAGUAGAAGUAAUAGUUGGCGAGCAACUUCAUGGAGACACGAUGAUGGAGAUCAUGAUGAUGGAGAUCAUGGUGUCAAGCCGGUGACAAGAUGAUCAUGGAGCCCCAAGAUGGAGAUCAAAGGAGCUAUGUGAUAUUGGCCAUAUCAUGUCACGUUUAUUAUUUGAUUGCAUGUGAUGUUUAUCAUGUUUUGCAUCUUGUUUACUUAGAACGACGGUAGUAAAUAAGAUGAUCCCUCACAAUAAAUUCAAGAAGUGUUCCCCCUAACUGUGCACCGUUGCGACAGUUUGCUGUUUCAAAACACCACGUGAUGAUCGGGUGUUUUAUUCAGACGUUCACAUACAACGGGUGUAAGACAGAUUUACACAUGCAAACACUUAGGUUGACUUGACGAGCCUAGCAUGUACAGACAUGGCCUCGGAACACAGAAGACCGAAAGGUCGAGCAUGAGUCGUAUAGAAGAUACGAUCAACAUGAAGAUGUUCAGCGAUGUUGACUAGUCCGUCUCACGUGAUGAUCGGACACGGUCUAGUUUGACUCGGAUCAUGUAAUACUUAGAUGGAUAGAGGGAUGUCUAAUCUAAGUGGGAGUUCACUAAUAAUUUGAUUAGUUGAACUUAAUUAUCAUGAACUUAGUCUAAAAUCUUUGCAAUAUGUCUUGUAGAUCAAAUGGCCAACGUAGUCCUCAACUUCAACGCGUUCCUAGAGAAAACUAAGCUGAAAGACGAUGGCAGCAACUAUACGGACUGGGUCCGGAACCUGAGGAUCAUCCUCAUAGCUGCCAAGAAAGAUUAUGUCCUACAAGCACCGCUUGGUGACGCACCCGUUCUCCCUGCAGAACAAGAUGUUAUGAACGCUUGGCAGGCACGUUUCGAUGACUACUCCCUCGUUCAGUGCGGCAUGCUUUACAGCUUAGAGCCGGGGCUCCAAAAGCGUUUUGAGAGACAUGGAGCAUAUGAGAUGUUCGAAGAGCUGAAAAUGGUUUUCCAAGCUCAUGCCCGGGUCGAGAGAUAUGAAGUCUCCGACAAAUUCUUCAGCUGUAAGAUGGAGGAAAACAGUUCUGUCAGUGAGCACAUACUCACUAUGUCUGGGUUGCAUAACCGCUUGACUCAGCUGGGAGUUAAUCUCCCGGAUGAUGCGGUCAUUGACAGAAUCCUCCAGUCGCUUCCACCAAGCUACAAGAGCUUUGUGAUGAACUUCAAUAUGCAGGGGAUGGAAAAGACCAUUCCUGAAGUAUUUGCUAUGCUCAAAUCAGCAGAGGUAGAAGUCAGAAAGGAACAUCAAGUGUUGAUGGUCAAUAAAACCACUAAGUUCAAGAAAGGCAAGGGUAAAAAGAACUUCAAGAAGGACGGCAAGGAGGUUGCCGCGCCCGGCAAGCAAGCUGCUGGGAAGAAGCCAAAGAAUGGACCCAAGCCCGAGACUGAGUGCUUUUAUUGCAAGGGAAGCGGUCACUGGAAGCGGAACUGCCCUAAGUACUUAGCGGAUAAGAAGGCCGGCAAAACAAAAGGUAUAUGUGAUAUACAUGUAAUUGAUGUGUACCUUACUAGUGCCCGUAGUAGCUCCUGGGUAUUUGAUACCGGUGCAGUUGCUCACAUUUGUAACUCAAAGCAGGGGCUGCGGAAUAAGCGGAAACUGGCAAAGGACGAGGUGACGAUGCGCGUCGGGAAUGGUUCCAAGGUCAAUGUGAUCGCCGUCGGCACGCUACCUCUGCAUCUCCCUUCGGGAUUAGUUUUAAACCUUAAUAAUUGUUAUUUAGUGCCAGCUUUGAGCAUGAACAUUGUAUCAGGAUCUCGUUUAAUUCGAGAUGGCUACUCUUUUAAAUCUGAGAAUAAUGGUUGUUCCAUUUUUAUGAGAGAUAUGUUUUAUGGCCAUGCUCCUAUGGUGAAUGAUUUAUUCCUUAUGAAUCUCGAACGUGAUGCUACACAUAUUCAUAAUGUGAGUACCAAAAGAAGUAAGGUUGAUAAUGAUAGUCCCACAUACUUGUGGCACUGCCGCCUUGGUCACAUAGGUGUCAAACGCAUGAAGAAGCUCCAUGCUGAUGGACUUUUAGAGUCUCUUGAUUAUGAAUCAUUUGACACGUGCGAACCAUGCCUUAUGGGUAAAAUGACCAAGACUCCGUUCUCAGGAACAAUGGAGCGAGCAACCGACUUAUUGGAAAUCAUACAUACUGAUGUGUGUGGUCCGAUGAGUGUUGAGGCUCGCGGUGGCUAUCGUUAUGUUCUCACUCUCACUGAUGAUUUAAGUAGGUAUGGGUAUAUCUACUUAAUGAAACACAAGUCUGAAACCUUUGAAAAGUUCAAGGAAUUUCAGAAUGAGGUUAAAAAUCAACGUGACAGGAAAAUCAAGUUUCUGCGAUCAGAUCGUGGAGGAGAAUACUUGAGUCACGAGUUUGGGGCACACUUAAGAAAAUGUGGAAUAGUUUCACAACUCACGCCGCCUGGAACACCUCAGCGUAAUGGUGUGUCCGAACGUCGUAAUCGCACUCUGUUAGAUAUGGUGCGAUCUAUGAUGUCUCUUACCGAUUUACCGCUUUCUUUUUGGGGCUAUGCUUUAGAGACUGCCGCAUUCACUUUAAAUAGGGCUCCGUCGAAAUCCGUUGAGACGACACCGUAUGAAUUAUGGUUUGGGAAGAAACCUAAGCUGUCGUUUCUAAAAGUUUGGGGAUGCGAUGCUUAUGUCAAGAAACUUCAACCUGAAAAGCUCGAACCCAAAUCGGAAAAAUGCGUCUUCAUAGGGUACCCAAAAGAAACUAUUGGGUACACCUUCUACCUCAGAUCCGAAGGCAAGAUCUUUGUUGCCAAGAAUGGGUCCUUUCUGGAGAAAGAGUUUCUCUCGAAAGAAGUAAGUGGGAGGAAAGUAGAGCUUGAUGAAGUAUUACCUCUUGAGCCGGAAAAUGGCGCAACUCAAGAAAAUGUUCCUGAGGUGCCUGCACCGACUAGAGAGGAAGUUAAUGAAAAUGAUCAAGAUACUUCUGAUCAAGCCCCUACUGAAAUUCGAAGGUCCACAAGGACAUGUUCCGCACCAGAGUGGUACGGCAACCCUGUCUUGGAAAUCAUGCUGUUAGACAACGGUGAACCUUCGAACUAUGAAGAAGCGAUGGUGGGCCCGGAUUCCGACAAAUGGCUGGAAGCCAUGAAAUCCGAGAUAGGAUCCAUGUAUGAAAACAAAGUAUGGACUUUGACUGACUUGCCCGUUGAGCAGCGAGCCAUAGAAAAUAAAUGGAUCUUUAAGAGGAAGACAGACGCGGAUGGUAAUGUGACCAUCUAUAAAGCUCGGCUUGUCGCUAAGGGUUAUCGACAAGUUCAAGGGGUUGACUACGAUGAGACUUUCUCACCGGUAGCGAAGCUGAAGUCCGUCCGAAUCAUGUUAGCAAUUGCCGCAUUCUAUGAUUACGAAAUAUGGCAAAUGGACGUCAAAACGGCAUUCCUUAAUGGUUUCCUUAAGGAAGAAUUGUAUAUGAUGCAGCCGGAAGGUUUUGUCGAUCCUAAGAAUGCUGACAAAGUGUGCAAGCUCCAACGCUCGAUUUAUGGGCUGGUGCAAGCAUCUCGGAGUUGGAACAUUCGCUUUGAUGAGAUGAUCAAAGCGUUUGGGUUUACACAGACUUAUGGAGAAGCCUGCGUUUACAAGAAAGUGAGUGGGAGCUCUGUAGCAUUUCUCAUAUUAUAUGUAGAUGACAUACUUUUGAUGGGAAAUGAUAUAGAACUCUUGGACAGCAUCAAGGCCUACUUGAAUAAAAGUUUUUCAAUGAAGGACCUUGGAGAAGCUGCUUAUAUUAGGCAUCAAAAUCUAUAGAGAUAGAUCGAGACGCCUCAUAGGUCUUUCACAAAGCACAUACCUUGAUAAGAUAUUGAAGAAGUUCAAUAUGGAUCAAUCCAAGAAGGGGUUCUUGCCUGUGUUGCAAGGUAUGAAAUUGAGCUCAGCUCAAUGUCCGACCACGGCAGAAGAUAUAGAAGAGAUGAGCGUCAUCCCCUAUGCCUCAGCCAUAGGUUCUAUUAUGUAUGCCAUGCUGUGUACCAGACCUGAUGUAAACCUUGCCGUAAGUUUGGUAGGAAGGUACCAAAGUAAUCCCGGCAAGGAACACCGGACAGCGGUCAAGAAUAUCCUGAAGUACCUGAAAAGGACUAAGGAAAUGUUUCUCGUUUAUGGAGGUGACGAAGAGCUCGUCGUAAAGGGUUACGUCGACGCUAGCUUCGACACAGAUCUGGAUGACUCUAAGUCACAAACCGGAUACGUGUAUAUUUUGAAUGGUGGGGCAGUAAGCUGGUGCAGUUGCAAGCAAAGCGUCGUGGCGGGAUCUACAUGUGAAGCGGAGUACAUGGCAGCCUCGGAGGCAGCACAUGAAGCAAUAUGGGUGAAGGAGUUCAUCACCGACCUGGGAGUCAUACCCAAUGCGUCGGGGCCGAUCAAGCUCUUCUGUGACAACACUGGAGCUAUUGCACUUGCCAAGGAGCCCAGGUUUUCACAAGAAGACAAGGCACAUCAAGCGUCGCUUCAACUCCAUUCGUGAAAAUGUUCAAGAUGGAGACAUAGAGAUUUGUAAAGUACAUACGGACCUGAAUGUAGCAGAUCCGUUGACUAAACCUCUCCCUAGAGCAAAACAUGAUCAACACCAGAGUUCCAUGGGUGUUCGAUUCAUCACAAUGUAACUAGAUUAUUGACUCUAGUGCAAGUGGGAGACUGUUGGAAAUAUGCCCUAGAGGAAAUAAUAAAAGCAUUAUUAUUAUAUUUCCUUGUUCAUGAUAAUUGUCUUUAUUCAUGCUAUAAUUGUGUUAUCCGGAAAUCGUAAUACAUGUGUGAAUAACAGACACCGACAUGUCCCUAGUGAGCCUCUAGUUGACUAGCUCGUUGAUCAACAGAUAGUCAUGGUUUCCUGACUAUGGACACUGGAUGUCAUUGAUAACGAGAUCACAUCAUUGGGAGAAUGAUGUGAUGGACAAGACCCAAUCCUAAACAUAGCACAAGAUCGUAUAAGUUCGUUUGCUAGAGUUUUCCAAUGUCAAGUAUCUUUUCCUUAGACCAUGAGAUCGUGUAACUCCCGGAUACCGUAGGAGUGCUUUGGGUAUGCCAAACGUCACAACGUAACUGGGUGACUAUAAAGGUAGACUACGGGUAUCUCCGAAAGUGUCUGUUGGGUGACAUGGAUCAAGACUGGGAUUUGUCACUCCGUAUGACGGAGAGGUAUCACUGGGCCCACUCGGUAAUGCAUCAUCAUAAUGAGCUCAGAGUGACCAAGUGUCUGGUCACGGGAUCAUGCAUUACGGUACGAGUAAAGUGACUUGCCGGUAACGAGAUUGAACGAGGUAUUGGGAUACCGACGAUCGAGUCUCGGGCAAGUAACAUAUCGAUAGACAAAGGGAAUAGCGUACGGGGUUGAUUGAAUCCUCGACAUCGUGGUUCAUCCGAUGAGAUCAUCGUGGAGCAUGUGGGAGCCAACAUGGGUAUCCAGAUCCCGCUGUUGGUUAUUGACCAGAGAGUCGUCUCGGUCAUGUCUGCUUGUCUCCCGAACCCGUAGGGUCUACACACUUAAGGUUCAGUUACGCUAGGGUUGUAGGGAUAUGUAUAUGCAGUAACCCGAAUGUUGUUCGGAGUCCCGGAUGAGAUCCCGGACGUCACGAGGAGUUCCGGAAUGGUCCGGAGGUAAAGAUUUAUAUAUGGGAAGUCCUGUUUCGGGCAUCGGGACAAGUUUCGGGGUUAUCGGUAUUGUACCGGGACCACCGGAAGGGUCCCGGGGGUCCACCGGGUGGGUCCACCUGUCCCGGGGGGCCACAUGGGCUGUAGGGGGUGCGCCUUGGCCUAAUGGGCCAAGGGCACCAGCCCCACAUAGGCCCAUGCGCCUAGGGUUUGAAGGGGAAAGAGUCCUAGGAGGGGAAGGCACCUCCUAGGUGCCUUGGGGGGGAGGGAAACCCCCCUUGGCCGCCGCACCCCCUAGGAGAUUGGAUCUCCUAGGGCCGGCCACCCCCCCUUGGCACCCCUAUAUAUAGUGGGGGAGAGGAGGGACUUCAUACCUGAACGCCUAGGCCUUUGGUUGCCUCCUUCUCCCUCCCCAACAGCUCCUCCACCUCCAUAGUGCUUAGCGAAGCUCUGCCGGAGUACUGCAGCUCCAUCAACACCACGCCGUCGUGCUGCUGCUGGUGCCAUCUCCCUCAACCUCUCCUCCCUCCCUUGCUGGAUCAAGAAGGAGGAGACGUGGCUGUUCCGUACGUGUGUUGAACGCGGAGGUGCCGUCCGUUCGGCGCUGGUCAUCGGUGAUUUGGAUCACGUCGAGUACGACUACAUCAUCACCGUUCUUUUGAACGCUUCCGCUCGCGAUCUACAAAGAUAUGUAGAUGCAUCUAAUCACUCGUUGCUAGAUGAACUCCUAGAUGAUCUUGGUGAAACGAGUAGGAAAUUUUUUGUUUUCUGCAACGUUCCCCAACAUAUCCCGCCCGAACAGACACCGCAAACGCAAGGACAACGAGCAUGACUCAGAAGCACAUGUAUCUACUGGUAUAUGAGUGAGAUGAAACAUUGUUAACUCUCAUUUAGAUAAUAAUUAGCAAACCAAUCCGAAACGGGACCUAGAUCGCGUCGGAAAAACGUUCCAACAAAGACACAUGCGCGAACAAGUAGACAAGAAGACACCAAACACACGACGCGACUUAGAGCGCGCGUGACAAAAUAACCCGCAAUCUAGAUUUGCACAAUAUUUAAAAAGAACAUAUGACAAAGUGGAAACAAGUUCAUGAAUUUAAAAGUAUAAAUGAUGAAUAAAAAUAAAAAUAAAAAGGUGAGAAUAGAAAACAUAAAUGAAAAAUCAUGAAUUUAAAAUAGUUCAUAAUUUAAAACAAAUAAUGAAAUAGAAAAAAGAAAAAAGAAAAAGACAAACAAAACAGAAAUGAAAAGAAAAUACAGGGAGUCAAAUGGGACAUGGGAUUGUAGAAAAACGAGAGGAACUUGGACUGAGUGUAACACAGACUUUUGAAAAGAAAUAGAAAAAGGCAAGAGAACCUCGCACCAACACCGACCUUCAGGAGUAUAGGCUCGCGAAAACCAACAACGUACCAACCUCGACCAGCAAUGACCCGGACACAGGCAGCGCGAGACAACGCGCCGCGAGCCAGCGCAACAGCUAGACCAUUGUGUUUUUCACAAAUAUUAAAGAUAUAGCUGAUCCAAUGGCUCUGGAUUUAGAUGUGAGAUAAUUAUUUUACAUCUAGAUGUGAAAUAGCAAACCCGUUUUGCUAAUAUCAUAGCAGGGGUGGAGCUAGAAAAUUUAGCCGAUGGGUUCAUUAGUUGACUGAUUGUGGGGAUUUAGUCCCUUUUUUUUUCUGCACCACCUUGCAUCAAAUAUAUAGCACUCGGUUUCAAAGAAGAAAAAUAUAGCACUUAAAAAAUGCAAAACAGAUUGAAAUAUAAUAUGACUUAUGAAUAGCAAAGGCGGAAAUAUUAUCAUUUCUUAUUCCGCACCAACACAUUUAACUAGUAAUUUUAAAAACAUACUGAUUAAAUUGUGUGAUUAUGGAGUUAACCUAGGUCUGGUGCAUCUAGCCAUUGGAGAAUGACCCAAAUAUAUGUGAAUCGCUGCCAAAAAUUGACAAGUCGCCAUAUUCCAAUUACCAAGUAAUCACUCUUAAAAUUAAAAACCCUAGCCAUACAUUUUAGGAAGCAAAAAUUAGACAAAGCGGAGGCACGCGCUCUGUAGAAAUUGAUGACUUACCUCUUCAGAAAUAUGAUGCACGUAUCAUAGCAUUCACGUGGAGAUGGAUUCCCUAGCUGUUGCCCGUAAGUCGGAUUUUUGUAUUUAAGCAGCGUGUACAGUGAGUACGUGAACUAACAGUGUCGAUUGGAGGUCCGUCCCAUUCCCCUCACGUAGGCAUGCAUUGGUCAGUGGUGUUCAAGGGUCGCAAGGGCCGUUCGGAUUCCCGAAUGAGCUCCUGGUGUGAUUGAACUGCUCAGCUUCUCCAUGCAUGCACCUCCUAGGAAGUCGAUCCGUCAAGUGUAAACACGCUCCACGCGCAUUGAUUCCAGUGCAUGAAACACAGUGUCACCGCCGGUUCGCUGCAUACUUAUAAACCCAAGAGCCGGCCGCGCCUCGCCUCCGCUAACAUAGCUCUGUAGCCAUCUACUUCGAAGCACUGAGAAAAUCUUGGAGCUUCGCGCUGGAUGGAAGCCGCCGACGAGCUGAAGCGUGCACGUGGCGGCGGCGGCGGCCUUGGGCAUUCCGUGGACCGGCUGAGUGCACUGCCGGACGACAUCCUGCACGCCGUCCUUUCGCGCCUCAAUGCCCGGCAGGUCGUGCGGACGUGCGUGCUGUCCACGAGGUGGAGGCAUCUCUGGCGCUCCGUGCCCUGCCUCCGCAUCGACCAGCGGGAGUUCCAUGCCGCCGACGGCUCCCUUGCCGAGCGGCAGCAGUUCAAGAACUUCACCCACAUCCUGCUGCACCGCCAUGACGUCGCGCUCCUAGAAGAUUUUCGUCUCCUCGUGCACCAUGGUAGUGAUAUGCCUCACUAUGACGACAGCUGGGUCCGCCGCGGCAUAAGUCAAGAUGAGACAUGGCCAUGUCGGCUCAAAAAAUUGCACCUUACCAACGUGUUUUUGGAUGGUUAUUUCUUGAGGCACAUCAAUUCGCGGUGCCCUGCUCUGGAGGACAUGAAACUGGAAAACUGCAGCUACUUGCUCACCGAUGAUACUAGCAUCUCCUCCCCCUCGCUGAAGAAAUUGGUUAUCAUCGGGUUCCGCCGUUCAUCACUGGAGAGCUUUUUUUGCCAUUUGAUUUUGGAGGCUCAUGCUCUUGCUUCCCUCGGCCUGGAAGGGGGUUAUUUUGAUAUCAUCGAUACAUGCCUGCCAAAUUCCAUGCCAUCUCUUGUCGAUGCAUCAAUCCGUCUGACUGAGAGCGAGGAGUUCAACUACAACAACGAUGGACAUAACUACCAGAUUCGGAAGCAAUUGUCUUUCCUCGAAGAGCUUUCCAACGUGACCAGUUUAAGUUUGGCUCGUUUCGGGGUCAUGGUACAUCUAUUCUCAGUUUCUGCCUAUCGAUAUCCUCCCAUGUAUUCAGCUUGUCUCUUCUUUAUCUAUGUUCAUUUACUGAUCAGAAAUUUAAUUAUGUGUGUAUGUUUCAGUUUCUUGUCAUUGAUGAUGAUGCUGGUCAUUACUUCCCUGAGUUCAAAAACCUCAAGAAAUUGUCCCUGGUCGAGUGUGAUAUCAGUGAUGACUUCCUCACGCUGGAGCAUUUCCUGCGGAACUCGCCUGAGCUGGAGAAGCUCACUUUGCGCUGUUGCAAGGUGCUACUACAACAUCUUCUUUCAUACCUCAGUUUAGUAAGUAAUAUUAAUUCUUUUAUUCUGUCAACAGCUCUCGGAUUCCAGACCUAAAAGAUCUAGAAAGAGGAUAAUGGAAAAGGCUCACUCAUAUUCCAAUGGCAUGGCAAGUAUUGAGUGCAAGAACCUCAGGCUCACUGAAGUCAUAUAUGACGAUGAUGAUGUCCACCUAUUAGUCAAGUUUUUGUUGGGCAUGUCGAAGAAUAUGCCAAACAAUAAGAUCGAGAUCACUAAAUUUGAUUAGCAAUACCGCAUCCAUAUGUCAGCUUGUCCAGAAACUACUAUGUUGUCUACUGGUUAAUGGUUUCCUAGUUUAGAUGCCACAGCGCAUCGCCAAGUUUACCAUUUGUUCUUUCUUAAAGUCCGAGCUUCGAUUUUGAUCUAUUCUUAAAAAUAUGCAAUCUUGUACUCCCUCCGUCCGGUGAAGAGUGUACGUUUGGGUUUAAAAAUUGUCCACAAAGAGCAUACUCCUAUCUUUCCAAUGCAUUUUAAAGUAGAAAAGAAGUUUUCUCUCAUCACACAGUAAUCAAUACCAAUAACAUUCUAUACAUAGUCUUCUUAAUUUCUACAUGCACUUAGUUCAUUGGGGGUUGGAUAAUUCAAGAGGAGAGAGAUGGUGGAUUGCAUAUUCGCAAUGCAUUUUUUACUCUACUCCAUAAUUUAUCCUAAAAUUUUUAGAUGUACACUUUUCACCGGACGGAAGGAGUAUGGCUCUUAGUGCAGCUCAUACCCUAGUUAAGGAAGGAUGUUGCAUGGAACUGUGCAAGGUCACGGUUUCUAGGUACGUACGCCCAGAUUGUACUGUGGAUGCAUGCUUUGCACUCGGAUUAGGCUGAGAUAUAUAUGAAUAAAUAGUAAGUCUGAAAUAAACCCUGGUUGUAGAGGCCAUUGCAAUCCUGCAUGGCUCUUACUGCUGCUCAUGCCCUAGCUAAGGAAGGAUGUCGCGUGGAACUGUGCAAAGUCAUGGUUUCCAGGGUUAGUUUGCUAGGGUUGUAUCGAUGCUCCCGUCCGUGGGCCUUGCAUGGCCCUCGGAGCGUCUUAUCCUUAUUCUCUUUUUCCUUUCCCCCCGUGGGGUGUGUAAUGGCCUUAGGCCCGCUAGUGCCUUAAGACUAGCUACAGUGGGAGUAACUUCAGCAGUAACAUCGAGUCCAACUCAACAAAUUUGCUUAUGUGGCAGUGAGUUAAUAAGCAGAGAGGUAGUUAUAGUGACUUAGCUAGUUACUCCCUCCGUCCGGGUUUAUUAGGUCUAAAGACAACUUCUUUUAGACCAAGACACAUAUUAAUUUGCUCACAUUAAUUCUUCCAUUUCACUCCCAAUGCACUCUCUCACAUGCAUGCAGCCAAUAAAAAAGCACGCAUGAAGUGUAUUAAUUUUCUAGUCAUGGCACCAACAACAAUGGCUUUCAAUGCAACCAAUGAAAUGGUUAAUUUGCAUGCACCUUUUCAAAGCGAGGCCUUAUAAAAAGGGACAUGCUUGUGAUGCUAAGAGGCCUAAUAAACCCGGACGGAGGGAGUACUGUAACAUCACAUGUCCCAAUACAAUAUGAGUCUAUAACCUAAUAAAUAAAGCUUUGCAUGUUACCACACUUAUGUUACUACCCACUAUGAAGGUAGUAACAUAGUCUAGGGAUAUGUGUAUGUUACUCAUCAUUGUGGCUAGUCUAAGGCCCUUCCCAGUGCUCCACGGUGUACAGGUGCUAAGGGUGCCACAUAGGCAGAAAAAUGAUGUGGCACAAUAAUUAAAGAGGAGAAAGAGCAUUGUGGUGACCCCAAUAAGAACCAAUGCUAAGCACGUGAACCUAGACAAAAAGACUACCAACCAAUACAUGAAGAAGUUUUAAUAUUAAACAAUUAAAUAGAGGAGGCUUAGCUACAAAACCUAAGCAUCAAUGCAUUGGGGACAUUAGUUGCUAAGCAUUUUAAUGCACUUAGCACCCCACUUUAGCACCAAUGCAUUGGGAGAGGUCUAAACAACCCUGUUGCUUAUUACUUCCUGCUUUUCCUCUUUCUUUGGUGCUUUCCAGCCCCAUCAGGAGCGCUCUUUUCUCUGUGUGUACUUGGAACGUCCGUGGGCUGGGUGAGUCGCGUAAAUGUAUCAACGUCCGCGCUAACAUCGAGGCCAUGCAGCCUACCUUCCUCGCGAUCCAAAGAAACGAAACUAGAGCACCCGCCUCCCUCCAAAACUGACUCGUUCUUGCCCUCCUCUCUUCGUACGUUCCUCGCCAUCGAUUGCACUGGUGCUUCCGGAGGAAUUUGUUCUGCCUGGAAUGCCAACUUUUUCUCUCUUAUCCACCAUCUCGCCACUGGUGCGUUCCUCCUUGAGCUUGCCGGGCAUGCCCCUCUCAGCUCUAUCCCUUGGGCCAUUGUGGGGGAUUUCAACCUCAUCCGAUCUCCGGAGGAUCGUAGUAACGAUAGUUUUUUCUCGGACCGAGGCCAUGUGGUUUAAUGACUUCAUUAAUGACCUCGCACUCAUCGACCUCCCCCUUCAUGACCGCCAAUUUACAUGGUCUAACCGCCAAAACUCCCCCAUCCUUGCGCGCCUCGACCGAGUCCUUGUCAGCGUUGCUUGGGACUCUCGGUUCCCCACCUCCACGCUUGCUUCUUUCACCCGUUCCACCUCCGAUCAUGUCCCCCUCAUCGCCACCAUCUCCUCCACGGCGCCCAAAACUCGUAUUUUUCGGUUUGAGAAAUCUUGGACCCUUCAUCCGUCUUUUCGUGCCGCCAUGUGCACCGCUUGGACCUCGAUGUUUCGCCCUGAUGCCACUGCUCGACUCGUGGCGUGUCUAUGGCAGUGCCGCCUUAGCUGCAAACGUUGGACUUGGCGGGUCGCUCCGGCGGCUCAGCGAGAGCAGGAUUGCCGCGUGCUUAUUGACAUCCUUGAUCGGACUAAGGAGCUCCGCCACCUCUCCCCAUUGGAAAUCCUCCUUCGCGCUCUUACUGUCGAUGCUCUGCAUGCCUCUGUCAAAGAACACGUCGUCUACUAGAAGCUCUGGGCUAAGUUUCGCUAUGCCUUGGAAGGCGACGAGAACACGGGGUUUUUUCAUGCCUCCGCUUCUGCCCGUUUCCGUCGAAACUGCAUUCAUGUCCUUUGCGUGGAUGGUCGUGAGAUUUCCUCUCACUCUGACAAAGCGUCUUCUCUCCGAGACUACUACAAGGCUCUCCUCGGCACCACUGCCGUCUGCGGUUGGACUUUCUCUCUCUGCCUUGUAUCCCGACACGAGUCCCCUUCUCGCUUCCCUUUCGGUCCCCUUCACCGCUGACGAGGUUAGGGCAGCUUUUUUUUGACAUGAAUCGCCUCUCUAGCCCCGGGCCAAACGGCUUCGGUCCUUCUUUCUGUGUCACCUUUUGGGACGUUCUCUCUGCUGACGUCCAGGCAGUUUUCCAUGACUUCUACACUAGCAAAAUCAAUCUCACCAGGAUAAAUCGAGCCUUUUUGGUUCUCCUGCCUAAGUCCGAGGUGACCCGGUCCCGUUCUGACUUUCGGCCGCUCUCUCUCCAAAACUGUGUCAUGAAGGCCAUCACCAGGGCUCUCUGCACUCGCCUUCAGCGGCACAUCCACUCCCUGGUGGACCCGGACCAGACAGGCUUCCUUCCCGGUAGGUGCAUUUCCGAGAACAUCAUCUACGCUGCCGACCUUCUCCGGGCCUGCCACUUGCGCAAGGUCCCCAUUGUGGUUUUCGAAAUUGACUUCCGCAAAGCUUUCGACUCUGUCAACUGGUCGAGCCUCCUCCUGAUCUUGUCUGCGCGGGGGUUUAGCGACCGCUGGUGUGGUUGGAUCAAGGCCAUCUUGUCCACUGGGCAUACGUCUAUCCUUCUCAACAACACUCCGGGGGACUGGAUCCUCUGCCAAAAUGGCCUUCGCCAGGGUGACGCCCUUUCUCCCUAUCUUUUUAUCAUCGUGGCCGAUGUUUUGCAGCGCAUGGCCCGAGUGGCUAGUACCGCUGGCCAUCUGUCGCACCCCAUCGAUCCCACCCUUCCUUGCCCCGUCCUUCAGUACGCUGACGACACCCUUAUCCUUUGUCAUGCGAACGUCCCCUCUAUUACGCACCUCAAAAGCAUCAUCGAUGCUUUUGCCCGUGCGACCGGGCUAGUGAUCAAUUUCCACAAGUCCGGGUUUGUUCCCAUGCAUUGCACCUCCAAGUUGUCGGCAGAGUUGGCCUCCAUCUUAGGGUGCCCCAUCUCUUCUUUCCCCCAACCUUACCUAGGGCUACCCUUGUCCCCACUCAAGCUUCCCACCUCCGCCUACGACCCCCUCCUCAAAUCUUUUGACCUCUAUCUGUCGGGUUGGCGAGCUCUCCUUCUCUCGUCGGGUGGUAGACUUGUUCUUUGCAACGCUAUUCUUAAUAAUCUUCCAACUUACUUUAUGUGUUCUUAUUUGCUGCCCACUGGAGUGAUUGAGCAUAUUGAUCGUAGGCGCCAUUCUUUCUUUUGGACCGGCAAGGAUACUUGCUCCGGGACUCGCUGUUUAAUUGCUUGGGACAAAGUGUGUGUUGAUGUGCAGGAAGUUGGCUUCGGCAUCCGUGAUCUUCGACGACAAAACAUGUGCCUCCUUCUUCAUUUUGUGGACGUUCUUCACCGCCCCGACUGCCCGCCGUGGAAGAGGUGGUUCCUCAGCAACCUCCGCGGCGACAUUGGCGAUGCAUGCUCGACGCCAUCGCUCCUUCAGACGAUCAUCCAGGCUGCUCUGCCUACCUCCAGGAGUAUUACUUGGGUGCAUCUGGGGGAUGGGCGCACCACUUCUUUCUGGCAGGACAGGUGGCUUCCCGGCGGUGCACUCUGCUUCGUCUUCAAGGUGCUCUUCUCCCACUCGACGCGGCCCAACGAGACGGUUGCUGGGGUCUUCGAGUCCGGCCUUGCUCUCCAGCCGAGGCUGUCCGCGGUGGCGGCCGCCCAGCUCGGCUCCGUACGGGAGCUUCUUCGCUCUGUGCGUCUGGUGGACGCGCACGACCGCCGUGUCAUGGCCUGGGGGUGAGACCUCUCGUUUAGCUCUCGGGCGGCGUUCCGUGUCCUGUCGCUACACGACAUCCGCGAUCAGGACUCCAUCGACCUCUGGGACUCCCGGCUUCCCAACAAGAUCAAGAUCUUUGCUCGGCUUCUUCUCGGCAACCGGCUUAGCACGCGCGCUAAUAUGUUUGCCAAGAAUUGUGCUCCGUCACCUGAAUGUGCCUCAUGCCAUGACGACGAAACAACGGACCACCUCUUCGCCUCCUGCCCGCAGGCGCCUCGUGUCUGGUCGCGACUCGACAUGGGCCCCUUCCUCUCCGUGGCGGAGAUUGUUUCCGAGCAACCCCGGGCUCCACUGGAUGCUGCUGCUUGGCGGGCUGGCCUCUACAUCCUCCUUUGGCAUGUGUGGAAGGCACAAUGCUGUGUCCAACUUCAUCGUCUGUGAGCCCAAGGAUGCUCUCCGACGUGCGGCCGACGACACGCUGCUUUGGGCGCGACGCUUCGAUGACGUUGUGCGCGACCAACUCCUCCUGUUCCGCUCCCUCCUCAUCGCGGCUUCCUAGCCUCCUUGUUUUUCACUUUUCUCUCUAUCUUGUUGUUUUUAUCUCCUCGAUGGAAAACACUGUAUGACGGCCUCGUCCUUUCGGGUAAUAUAACAACCGNNNNNNNNNNNNNNNNNNNNNNNNNNNNNNNNNNNNNNNNNNNNNNNNNNNNNNNNNNNNNNNNNNNNNNNNNNNNNNNNNNNNNNNNNNNNNNNNNNNNNNNNNNNNNNNNNNNNNNNNNNNNNNNNNNNNNNNNNNNNNNNNNNNNNNNNNNNNNNNNNNNNNNNNNNNNNNNNNNNNNNNNNNNNNNNNNNNNCAUGGUUUCCAGGUACAUACGCCCAGAUUCUACUGUGGAGCAUGCUUUGCACUCGGAUUAUGCUGAAUAUAUAUGAAUAAAAGGGGCAAUACUUCCAACCGAGAUAAAAGGUAGUACUUAUUCGACUUCAAUGGAGAAACAAUAAAAUUUGAACGGAAUUGUAAGACGCAAAAGUCCUAAUAUUUCACGUCAUGGAAGUAGAAGUUGUUGCCGAACCUGCUGGUGAACUGUGGGUCACCGCAGGAGAUGCCCGGUUAGAGCAAGUACAAUAGAGCUGAGCCAGCGGGCUAUAAGGAAUAAAGUAAUAUAUUUCUGCUUAGUUGGAGGAAAGAGAAGAGGAGAGAGAAGGCCAGCUCUAGCACGUGCUCCUAGGCACUUUGUGAGAAUGAAAGAUGGGCCACAUAAUAAAAAAGUAGUACAUUUUUUGAUCUACUAUUGUACAUGUUGGCUAUAUGAUGGACUGUAGAUGACAUGGCACAUGUUUAUAGCCAGCAGCUGGCUAUACUAUUAACCAUGCUCUUAGUAGUCGCACACUUGACGCGAACUACUAGUAGUACUACUAGUAGCAUCAUAGUGGCAGAGAUUAAUUUGUGACCAGUUCUUUCUUCGUCUUUCUUAAACAGCGUGUACAGCCAGUUCAUCAACAACCUACUAUUCCCGAUGAGCCAGAUGAACAGUCUAUUGGAGGUCGUCUACUCGUCUUUCCCCAUUCCUCGUCCAACCCCUUCACAUGCAUGCACCUCGUCCAACCCAAGCGCCGGCCGCCUUCUAAGCACUGAGAAAAUCUUGGAGCUCGCGCUCCAUGGACGGCCCCGACAAGCUGAAGCGUGCACGCGGCGGCCACGGUGGCGGCGGCGUUGGGCAUUCUGUGGACCGGCUGAGCGCCCUGCCGGACGACCUCCUGCACGCCGUCCUUUCCCGCCUCAAGGCCCGGCAGGUGGUGCGGACGUGCGUGCUGUCCACUCGGUGGAGGCACCUCUGGCGCUCCGUGCCGUGCCUCCGCGUCGACCAGCGGGAGUUCCAUGCCGCGGCGACCGGCAACGGCUCCCUCGUCGAGAGGCUGAGUUUCAACAACUUCGCCCACAUCCUGCUGCACCGCCACAACGUUGCACUCCUAGAAGAAUUUCGCCUGCACGAAGACCCUGGCUAUGGCUAUGGCUAUGGCUAUGGCUAUGGCUAUGGCAGAUGCCAUGCUGACAGCUGGGUCCGCCAUGGCAUAAGUCAGGAUGAGACUUGGCCUAGCCGGCUCGAAAGGUUGCAUCUUAACAACGUGUCCUUGGACGGUUACUUUGCCAGGCACAUCAGUUCGAGGUGCCCUGCUCUUGAGGACAUGCGACUGAAAAACUGCAGCUACUGGCUCACCGAGGACAUCAGGUUCACCUCCUCCUCGCUAAAGAAAUUGGUCAUCGUCGGCUUCCAUGUGGUGAGGGAGGAUGCUUCUUUCAGGCUGAUUUUGGAGGCUCCUGCCCUUGCUUCCCUCCGCCUUGCCGGUCAUUCUUCUAACAAUUAUUCAGUUGUCAUGGGUCUGACGACUGUGACGAGCAUGCCAUCACUUGUCGCUGCAUCGAUCUGUCUGGUGACUGUGAGCAGGUUCAAUUACAGCAAUGAAGAUAACGGCCCAAUUGAGAGGCAAUUGUCUUUGCUCAACGAGCUUUUCAAUGUGACGACUUCACAUUUGUCUCGUUUUGGGGUCAUGGUAUAUACCUUCUCAAUUUCUGACUAUCGAUAUCCCCCUGUUUAUUCAGCUUACAUCUCAUUUGCCUAUAGCCAUUUAAAAUCAGAAAUUGAAUAUGUAUGUUUCAGUUUCUUGUCCUUGGAGGCGAUGCUGGUCUGUUUUUCCCCGAGUUCAAAAACCUCAAGAUGUUGUCCCUUGCCGAAUGUGAUAUCAGUGAUGACUUCCUCACGCUGAAGCAUUUCCUGCGGAACUCACCUAAUUUGGAGAAGCUCACGUUGCGCUGUUGCAAGGUGCUACUACUACUACUACUACUACUACUACUACUACUACUACUACUUUCAUUACUCAGUUUAGUAUGUAAUAUUAAUUUUUUUAUAAUCCCAACAGCUCUUGGAUCCCGGACCUAAAAGUUCUAGAAAGGAGAUAAUGAAAUUUCAAAAAAAAAGAAAGAAGAUAAUGGAAAAGGCUCACUCAUGUUCCCAGGACAUGGCGACUGUUGAGUGCAAGAACCUCAAGCUCACUGAAAUCAUAUACCAGAAAAAUGAUGAUGAUGAUGUGCACCUAUUGGUCAAUUUUUGGUUGGGCAUGUCGAAGAAUAUGCCAAGCAAUAAGAUCGAGAUCACUAAAGUUGAUUAGCAAUACCAUAUCCAUAUGUCAGCUUGUCUAUCGUUUGAAGCCUUCCUAGCUUAGAUGCCAUAUUGUAUCGCAAGGUUACCUUUUGUUCUUCUUUAAGUCCAAGUUGUGUCGUAUGGAGUUGAUGGAAGGAUGUUAUCUAUCGUUUGUUGACUUCCCAGUUUGCAUGUCGUAAUAUGUUUUCUAUCAUUUGCUGACUUCCCAGUUUGCAUGCCGUAAUGUAAUCAGGUUUACCUUUGUUCUUUGCUGAAGUCCAAGUUUCCAUUGGGAUCAACACAUCAAUAUUAUUUAAGGUUGUGUGUUAUGUAGAUUAUGUUCUUGUUUUUUCAAGCUAUGAUCUGUAAAUGUUUUUCAUUAAGAAGAUUAUGUUCUUGACAUACAAGCACAAUGUUGCAAGUAUACUACUGCAAAAUGUAUUUUCUCUGGGUGUUUGAAUGAUUGCAU
RNAcentral lists this long non-coding RNA (27266 nucleotides) under Triticum aestivum (bread wheat). RNAcentral describes it as "long non-coding RNA (TAES_LNC028255)". Lineage: Eukaryota; Viridiplantae; Streptophyta; Magnoliopsida; Poales; Poaceae. The record is from RNAcentral.